RNAcentral lists this ribosomal RNA (432 nucleotides) under Triticum aestivum (bread wheat). RNAcentral describes it as "partial small subunit ribosomal RNA". Lineage: Eukaryota; Viridiplantae; Streptophyta; Magnoliopsida; Poales; Poaceae. The record is from RNAcentral.
AUGAUGGACGACGAGAAGAACAAGCAGCUGGCGGAGUACUCCAGUGCGGCUAAAGUAUUUGCUGCUCCGGCGAGUUCGUCGUACCCACGAUUUGAUCGCGAGAACUUCGGGGUGUGGAAGGCCCUCAUGGAGUGUGGUCUCCGCGCCAACAAGCUAUGGGACGCGGUCGACCCAGGAGGCGACGCCUUCAAGAACGAGGGAGCCGAGCACCGGAAGGAUCGGCAGGCGGCGUCGGCGAUUUACUCGGUGAUGCCAAUGGAUGUCCUCCAGCACCUAAUCGCCAAAGCAACGGCGAAGGAGGUGUGGGAUACGCUGAAGCUCAUGUUUGAGGGACACACCCGCGUCAAGCAAGCCAAUCUCCAAACUCUCCUAAGGAACUACGAGACUUUGGUCAUGGGCGACGAUGAGUCCGUGGAUGCGUUUGCUUCAUGA